CGAGAAAUUGGCGGCUGCCUUUUGGGGAUGGACGGGCACCUGGUGCUGUAACGGCUGCUAUGCAGGCGCCUGGAAGUCUUCAACGUCAAGAGGGUCAAGCGGCAUAAAAGCUGUCCGCUAGUGGGCUGGGAAUCACACUCCCAGCCCGCAACACUGUCAAAUUGCGGGAACAUCCUAAAGCCAACACUACCAAGCGGGCGCUGAAAGGCGUGCGUGGCCGGGGUAAUGACCUAGGGUAUGGUAAAAACGUGUUGGAUGAUACAAUGGACAAUCCGCAGCCAAGCUCUAAGUCCGGUGUCACGACGCCGGAUAUGGGUGCAGUUCAACGACUAAAUGGUAGUGGGUUCUGCGAGAAACGCGUGCUGCGAACUUCUCCCGGGGCUUAAGAUAUAGUCUACUCCCACUCUGAAAGGAUGGGUACUGAGUG
RNAcentral lists this ribosomal RNA (427 nucleotides) under Beauveria bassiana. RNAcentral describes it as "eukaryotic LSU rRNA". The stretch from base 96 to 418 matches the Rfam family "Group I catalytic intron". Rfam says of the family: Group I catalytic introns are large self-splicing ribozymes. They catalyse their own excision from mRNA, tRNA and rRNA precursors in a wide range of organisms. The core secondary structure consists of 9 paired regions (P1-P9). Lineage: Eukaryota; Fungi; Ascomycota; Sordariomycetes; Hypocreales; Cordycipitaceae. The record is from RNAcentral.